Non-coding RNA from Mycena capillaripes, 90 nucleotides. NCBI's taxonomy places the organism in Eukaryota, Fungi, Basidiomycota, Agaricomycetes, Agaricales, Mycenaceae. The record is from the annotation of a GenBank genome assembly.
GACCCAGUGGCGGAUGGUCCGCAUCUCCCUCUCUUAUCAAGUGUUCAUGCAGACAAGGAGAAGCUGCCUGUUCGAUUCGGGCCUGGGUCA